This 788-nucleotide ribosomal RNA is filed under the name uncultured bacterium. Its description in RNAcentral is "bacterial SSU rRNA". It matches the Rfam family "Bacterial small subunit ribosomal RNA", at positions 8 to 796 of the family's 1533-position model. The record is from RNAcentral.
AGAGUUUGAUCAUGGCUCAGAUUGAACGCUGGCGGCAUGCCUUACACAUGCAAGUCGAACGGCAGCGCGGGGCACCUGGCGGCGAGUGGCGAACGGGUGAGUAAUAUAUCGGAACGUGCCCUGGAGUGGGGGAUAACGCAGCGAAAGUUGCGCUAAUACCGCAUACGAUCUAAGGAUGAAAGCAGGGGACCGCAAGGCCUUGUGCUCCUGGAGCGGCCGAUAUCUGAUUAGCUAGUUGGUGGGGUAAAGGCCUACCAAGGCAUCGAUCAGUAGCUGGUCUGAGAGGACGACCAGCCACACUGGAACUGAGACACGGUCCAGACUCCUACGGGAGGCAGCAGUGGGGAAUUUUGGACAAUGGGCGAAAGCCUGAUCCAGCAAUACCGCGUGAGUGAAGAAGGCCUUCGGGUUGUAAAGCUCUUUUGUCAGGGAAGAAACGGUGUGGGCUAAUAUCCCGCACUAAUGACGGUACCUGAAGAAUAAGCACCGGCUAACUACGUGCCAGCAGCCGCGGUAAUACGUAGGGUGCAAGCGUUAAUCGGAAUUACUGGGCGUAAAGCGUGCGCAGGCGGUUUUGUAAGUUUGUCGUGAAAGCCCCGGGCUCAACCUGGGAAUUGCGAUGAAGACUGCAAGGCUUGAAUCUGGCAGAGGGGGGUAGAAUUCCACGUAGCAGUGAAAUGCGUAGAGAUGUGGAGGAACACCGAUGGCGAAGGCAGCCCCCUGGGUCAAGAUUGACGCUCAUGCACGAAAGCGUGGGGAGCAAACAGGAUUAGAUACCCUAGUAGUCC